CUGGCCACGAACCAGCAGUUUCUGAACUUCCUGUGUUCUUAACUUGGAAACAGACACGCUGAGGUUUUACAGGCCAUUCCCAGGGAUGCAUUUCAGUAAAACUUCUCCAUUGUGUGUGAUGAGAAUAUCAGUGGUGGUGCUGGUGAUGGAGUCCUAUUUUCCUGAGCAAUGCUGCAUCUACACAAAAUUCCAACAAAAUUUCUUCAUUUUUGGAAAUAGAAGUGUUUACAAGGUACUCUGCUAAGUUUGUUUCUG
Molecule: long non-coding RNA, 255 nt
Filed under: Homo sapiens (human)
Lineage: Eukaryota; Metazoa; Chordata; Mammalia; Primates; Hominidae
Description: HSALNT0041437
Source: RNAcentral